CGGAGCUAGCAUACACAUGCAGUCGAGCGGUAACAGGGGGAGCUUGCUCCCCGCUGACGAGCGGCGGACGGGUGAGUAAUACAUAGGAAUCUGCCCAGUAGUGGGGGAUAGCCCGGGGAAACCCGGAUUAAUACCGCAUACGCCCUUCGGGGGAAAGCAGGGGAUCUUCGGACCUUGCGCUAUUGGAUGAGCCUAUGUCGGAUUAGCUAGUUGGUGGGGUAAUAGCCUACCAAGGCGACGAUCCGUAGCUGGUCUGAGAGGAUGAUCAGCCACAUCGGGACUGAGACACGGCCCGAACUCCUACGGGAGGCAGCAGUGGGGAAUAUUGGACAAUGGGGGCAACCCUGAUCCAGCCAUGCCGCGUGUGUGAAGAAGGCUUUCGGGUUGUAAAGCACUUUCAGUGAGGAGGAAAACCUUACGACUAAUACUCGUGAGGCUUGACGUUACUCACAGAAGAAGCACCGGCUAACUCCGUGCCAGCAGCCGCGGUAAUACGGAGGGUGCAAGCGUUAAUCGGAAUUACUGGGCGUAAAGCGCGCGUAGGUGGUUUGAUAAGCGAGAUGUGAAAGCCCCGGGCUUAACCUGGGAACGGCAUUUCGA
Molecule: ribosomal RNA, 600 nt
Filed under: Marinobacter algicola
Lineage: Bacteria; Pseudomonadati; Pseudomonadota; Gammaproteobacteria; Pseudomonadales; Marinobacteraceae
Description: bacterial SSU rRNA
Rfam family: Bacterial small subunit ribosomal RNA
Source: RNAcentral